This 465-nucleotide ribosomal RNA is filed under the name uncultured Klebsiella sp. Its description in RNAcentral is "bacterial SSU rRNA". It matches the Rfam family "Bacterial small subunit ribosomal RNA", at positions 338 to 795 of the family's 1533-position model. The record is from RNAcentral. Lineage: Bacteria; Pseudomonadati; Pseudomonadota; Gammaproteobacteria; Enterobacterales; Enterobacteriaceae.
CCUACGGGUGGCAGCAGUGGGGAAUAUUGCACAAUGGGCGCAAGCCUGAUGCAGCCAUGCCGCGUGUGUGAAGAAGGCCUUCGGGUUGUAAAGCACUUUCAGCGGGGAGGAAGGCGUUAAGGUUAAUAACCUUGGCGAUUGACGUUACCCGCAGAAGAAGCACCGGCUAACUCCGUGCCAGCAGCCGCGGUAAUACGGAGGGUGCAAGCGUUAAUCGGAAUUACUGGGCGUAAAGCGCACGCAGGCGGUCUGUCAAGUCGGAUGUGAAAUCCCCGGGCUCAACCUGGGAACUGCAUUCGAAACUGGCAGGCUAGAGUCUUGUAGAGGGGGGUAGAAUUCCCGGUGUAGCGGUGAAAUGCGUAGAGAUCUGGAGGAAUACCGGUGGCGAAGGCGGCCCCCUGGACAAAGACUGACGCUCAGGUGCGAAAGCGUGGGGAGCAAACAGGAUUAGAUACCCGUGUAGUC